Molecule: unclassified non-coding RNA, 368 nt
Filed under: soil metagenome
Description: partial contains 5.8S ribosomal RNA, internal transcribed spacer 2, and large subunit ribosomal RNA
Rfam family: 5.8S ribosomal RNA (bases 1-120)
Source: RNAcentral
GAUGAAGAACGCAGUGAAAUGCGAUAAGUAAUGUGAAUUGCAGAAUUCAGUGAACCAUCGAAUCUUUGAACGCACAUUGCGCCCGGCAGUAAUCUGCCGGGCAUGCCUGUCCGAGCGUCAUUUCUGCCCUCGAGCCUGUCCAGCAUCUAGGUGCUGUUCGGGUUCGGCGUUGGGGCACUACGGGAAGCCUCGUGCUAUCCCCCGUAGGCCCCGAAAUGAAGUGGCGGUCCUGCCGCGGCUCCCCCUGCGUAGUAUUACAGCUCGCUUCGGGACCCGGUGGAGGCCUGCCGUCAAACCUUACUCUCUAAGUUUGACCUCGGAUCAGGUAGGGUUACCCGCUGAACUUAAGCAUAUCAAUAAGCGGAGGA